Biomphalaria glabrata is the source of this 1643-nucleotide long non-coding RNA. RefSeq lists it as uncharacterized. The record is from RefSeq and is a predicted model, not a curated record. Lineage: Eukaryota; Metazoa; Mollusca; Gastropoda; Planorbidae. The transcript is spliced from 3 exons.
ACUUUAUAAAUUUGGUCAUUUAGUGUUGAUGUUUACAUAACAAAUCGAAGUUGAAGUCACGUAUUUAGAAUAAUUUAGAGCUAAAACCACUGAGUGAGUGGCACAGUCAGUGUGAUCUUCAACUGUUCAACUGACAACUUCAUUCAAGAAUUCUAGAGUCUAUACCAUAUUAUUUCUAGACUAGUCCAAUUCUUAAUUUAGAAAAUAUGGUCUGAUUAAUAAUCAAUGCUUGCAACUAUGUGGCGGAACGGAUCCAGCGAUGCAUGAAAAGUGAUGCAGAGCAGGGCCCUGUGACCCCUAUUAGUGAGCGAGCUUGUGCAAUGCAGAAAACUAAGAAACACCACCACCAUAAUGACAAAUAUCAAGAAGAUCUGACAGUGUCAGGUCAACAUAAUGGAUCUCCAGGAAAGUCUCAAGGGCAUGUAAAAAAAAAUGGCUUUGAUGUAGACUAGAAGAGUAUCCAAUGCCAUACAUAUGGGGAUCACAUUUUGUUUUAAAUUAGUGCUAAAUAAUAAAGUGAGCUAAAUGUCUAUCAUCCAGAUAUAAAUUAUAUUCCUGAUAAUCACUACUAAAUUCUCCAACAUCUAAGAAAUGACUGUAGCUUAUAACUAUAAGUAUUCAUUGUAGGACACUUGGUGGAACUUUCUUGCUUUAAAUUUUCAUUACUAUCAAAGUUGAAAAUACUGUUAAUUUUGACUAAAAAUAAAAAUGUAUACUUUAAGUAGUUGUCAAAGAAUUCUUCCUGUGUCCACUGUUAUGAAGUUUGUAUUUGAAAAGGUAUCGUUUGAUACCUGAGGUAUAAACGGAUGAGCAAAGAUAUGCAAGUUUGAACAUGAAGAAUUUGUUGAUACACUUUUGGAUACAUGACAGUUCUGUUUGUGUUGCCCGAUGUUAUAAAGGAGUUCCACUUGGUCAACCUCUUUACAGUUGAAUUUUUAAAAACUUUCUUUUUAAGUUAAUUAUCAAAACAACGAGAGACUUUUUUCCUUACAGAACUUUUGUGUAAUAGUUGAAAAUCAAAAUUAUUUAUUCUAAAAUAAACUUGAUGAAAUAUAAAAAUGAUUUUUUUUAGUCUUUUUUUAUAUAUACUGGGAUAUUUCAAGUUAUGUUAUCUAAACAGUCAUAGGGUGGGAGUAACAUCUUAGAAACCAUGAAUUGAUUACAGUUUAUAUUAAAAUCUUUCAUAAUUGUGUGAUAUAUAUAUAUAUAUAUAUAAAUCACUAACAUAUUGUGAUACCUAAAAACUAAUAUCUUUUAAUCAUUUUUGUUUAACGGUAAAAUCUAAAACAGUUUCUUUUCUCUUUAAAGGGUAAUUUGAAACUUACUCCCUUGUAUUUUUUUCCAGUAAAUGCUUUCUGUUUUAUCAAGUGGUGAAAAAAGCAUCGUAUAAAUAGUUGUUAUGAGUCCAGGGGAAAAUUGCCAAAAUUAAAUAAAAUGUCUUCUAGUCUUAAAUAUGUGUUAUUUCUUAGCCCAGUAAAUUUAAAAUAUUUCAUAAGUGUUUGUAAAUCUGAAAAUUUUUAGCACUGCACAAGUUAUUGCAUAAUACAAAGGUUUCAUAAAAAAUUUCAUCCCUGUUUAUUCUCUUAAACAUAUAAUUACAUAUUUUAUAUUAAUAUAAAGCAGAAAUGUAGCUAAUAGAUUUU